RNAcentral lists this ribosomal RNA (250 nucleotides) under uncultured prokaryote. RNAcentral describes it as "partial 16S ribosomal RNA". It matches the Rfam family "Bacterial small subunit ribosomal RNA", at positions 524 to 773 of the family's 1533-position model. The record is from RNAcentral.
UACGUAGGUGGCAAGCGUUGUCCGGAUUUACUGGGUGUAAAGGGCGUGUAGGCGGAGUUGCAAGUCAGGAGCGAAAUCUAUGGGCUCAACCCAUAAACUGCUUUUGAAACUGCAACCCUUGAGUAUCGGAGAGGCAGGCGGAAUUCCUAGUGUAGCGGUGAAAUGCAUAGAUAUUAGGAGGAACACCAGUGGCGAAGGCGGCCUGCUGGACGACAACUGACGCUGAGGCCCGAAAGCGUGGGGAGCAAAC